Non-coding RNA from Microcebus murinus (gray mouse lemur), 742 nucleotides. The record is from RefSeq and is a predicted model, not a curated record. Lineage: Eukaryota; Metazoa; Chordata; Mammalia; Primates; Cheirogaleidae.
CCUCUUACUGGCCCUGCUUGUGAUUCUUCCAAGAAAGGAGUCAAAGAACCAAGGAACAUACAAAUCCGAUACCUGAUCUCAAACCUUACUCAAGACCUCAAGAUAUUACUUAAGCUCUGUUUUUCAUCAUUAAAGGACCUAUUAGAAAAAGGACCUAUUCUAAGAAGGACCCAUUCUAAAAAAAGACCUAUUAGAAUUGAAAAUCUUGUGGUUGCCUCCAAGCCAUCAUGAAGCACACUUUAAAAUCAGAUCUUUCACUGGUAUUCAUGGGCUCCCAACUGCAAUGACAAUGGAUUCAUUCCUUUAGCCAGGAGCACAGAUAAUACUUUCAAUUAAAGAUGGCACAACUGAUCAUAUAUGUUGAAGUUUCCUCUUCUUACACCAAAUACAAAUAACCCAAAACAGAGGAAAAUGAAAUAUAUAACCACUGUCAAAGAGCAGGGAAAUAAACGAUGCCAUUGCCAACGCCCUCUGAAUUAGGAAACUUAGACCUUUAACACCAGAUAACUCCUGAUGCCACAUGUGACCCAAGGAGCAGCUGAGACUUCCAGUUUCCAUCUGAAUAUAAAAUAUAAAGAAAAUGACAACUUAUAUGGGAUUCUAUACUUUACAUAGUCCCUUCCCAUUACCAUCAGGAACAAAUAAUUGGUGAUCUGAUCUGGAAGAAUAAACUGAUCCCAGGAGGUAGAAGAAUCUAGAUGUUCUCUUUCAUAACUUUAUUAAAAUGGAAAUUGCAGCAUAA